This 294-nucleotide ribosomal RNA is filed under the name uncultured bacterium. RNAcentral's name for it is "partial 16S ribosomal RNA". It matches the Rfam family "Bacterial small subunit ribosomal RNA", at positions 775 to 1067 of the family's 1533-position model. The record is from RNAcentral.
GGAUUAGAUACCCUGGUAGUCCACGCUGUAAACGAUGAGAACUAGCCGUUGGAACCUUUACUGGAUUUAGUGGCGCAGCUAACGCGAUAAGUUCUCCGCCUGGGGAGUACGGCCGCAAGGUUAAAACUCAAAUGAAUUGACGGGGGCCCGCACAAGCGGUGGAGCAUGUGGUUUAAUUCGAAGCAACGCGAAGAACCUUACCUGGCCUUGACAUCCUGCGAACUUAGUAGAGAUACUUUGGUGCCUUCGGGAGCGCAGAGACAGGUGCUGCAUGGCUGUCGUCAGCUCGUGCUG